This 440-nucleotide ribosomal RNA is filed under the name uncultured bacterium. RNAcentral's name for it is "bacterial SSU rRNA". It matches the Rfam family "Bacterial small subunit ribosomal RNA", at positions 958 to 1398 of the family's 1533-position model. The record is from RNAcentral.
AACGCGAAGAACCUUACCAGGUCUUGACAUCCCAUUGACCGGUCCGUAACGGGACCUUCCCUUCGGGGCAAUGGAGACAGGUGGUGCAUGGUUGUCGUCAGCUCGUGUCGUGAGAUGUUGGGUUAAGUCCCGCAACGAGCGCAACCCUUAUCUUUAGUAGCCAGCAUUUCGGAUGGGCACUCUAGAGAGACUGCCAGGGAUAACCUGGAGGAAGGCGGGGAUGACGUCAAAUCAUCAUGCCCCUUAUGAUCUGGGCUACACACGUGCUACAAUGGUGACUACAAAGAGACGCAAGACUGUGAAGUGGAGCAAAUCUCAAAAAGGUCAUCUCAGUUCGGAUUGUAGUCUGCAACUCGACUACAUGAAGCUGGAAUCGCUAGUAAUCGCGAAUCAGAAUGUCGUGGUGAAUACGUUCCCGGGCCUUGUACACACCGAUACUC